AGGAGAGUUUGAUCCUGGCUCAGGACGAACGCUGGCGGCGUGCUUAAUACAUGCAAGUCGAACGGAGUUAGAGACUUCGGUUUCUAACUUAGUGGCGAACGGGUGAGUAACGCGUGAGCAACCUGACUCAAAGAGGGGGACAACAGCUGGAAACGGCUGCUAAUACCGCAUAAGACCACAGCGCGGCAUCGCAAAGGGGUCAAAGAUUUAUCGCUUUGAGAGGGGCUCGCGUCCCAUUAGAUAGUUGGUGAGGUAACGGCCCACCAAGUCCGCGAUGGGUAGCCGAGCUGAGAGGCUGAUCGGCCACACUGGAACUGAGACACGGUCCAGACUCCUACGGGAGGCAGCAGUAGGGAAUAUUGGGCAAUGGGCGCAAGCCUGACCCAGCAACGCCGCGUGAGGGAAGAAGGUUUUCGGAUUGUAAACCUCUGUCCUAUGUGACGAAGGAAGUGACGGUAGCAUAGGAGGAAGCCCCGGCUAACUACGUGCCAGCAGCCGCGGUAAUACGUAGGGGGCGAGCGUUGUCCGGAAUUACUGGGCGUAAAGGGUGCGUAGGCGGCAUGGCAAGUUGGAUGUGAAAUACCCGGGCUUAACUUGGGGGCUGCAUCCAAAACUGCUGAGCUUGAGUGCGGGAGAGGAAAGCGGAAUUCCUAGUGUAGCGGUAAAAUGCGUAGAUAUUAGGAGGAACACCGGUGGCGAAGGCGGCUUUCUGGACCGUAACUGACGCUGAGGCACGAAAGCGUGGGGAGCAAACAGGAUUAGAUACCCUGGUAGUCCCCU
RNAcentral lists this ribosomal RNA (780 nucleotides) under uncultured Bacillota bacterium. RNAcentral's name for it is "bacterial SSU rRNA". It matches the Rfam family "Bacterial small subunit ribosomal RNA", at positions 1 to 799 of the family's 1533-position model. Lineage: Bacteria; Bacillati; Bacillota. The record is from RNAcentral.